RNAcentral lists this ribosomal RNA (492 nucleotides) under uncultured bacterium. RNAcentral's name for it is "partial 16S ribosomal RNA". It matches the Rfam family "Bacterial small subunit ribosomal RNA", at positions 29 to 507 of the family's 1533-position model. The record is from RNAcentral.
AGUGAACGCUGGCGGUAGGCCUAACACAUGCAAGUCGAACGGCAGCACAGUAAGAGCUUGCUCUUACGGGUGGCGAGUGGCGGACGGGUGAGGAAUACAUCGGAAUCUACUUUUUCGUGGGGGAUAACGUAGGGAAACUUACGCUAAUACCGCAUACGACCUACGGGUGAAAGCAGGGGAUCUUCGGACCUUGCGCGAUUGAAUGAGCCGAUGUCGGAUUAGCUAGUUGGCGGGGUAAAGGCCCACCAAGGCGACGAUCCGUAGCUGGUCUGAGAGGAUGAUCCGGCACACUUGAACUGAGACACGGUUCAGACUCCUACGGGAGGCCGCAGUGGGGAAUAUUGGACAAUGGGCGCAAGCCUGAUCCCGCCAUACCGCGUUGGUGAAGAAGGCCUUCGGGUUGUAAAGCCCUUUUGUUUGGAAAGAAAAGCAGCAGGUUAAUACCCCGCUGUUCUGACGGUACCCAAAGAAUAAGCACCGGCUAACUUCGUG